This 1691-nucleotide ribosomal RNA is filed under the name Monopterus albus (swamp eel). RNAcentral describes it as "16S ribosomal RNA". The stretch from base 104 to 1582 matches the Rfam family "Bacterial large subunit ribosomal RNA". The record is from RNAcentral. Lineage: Eukaryota; Metazoa; Chordata; Actinopteri; Synbranchiformes; Synbranchidae.
UGCCAAUUAGCUAGCUUUAAACCAAAAACAACAGACCAUUAAUAAUACCCCCACAUUAAUUACCCCUAACAAUCAAACCAUUUUACCCAUUUAGUAUGUGCGACAGAAAAAUAAGUCUCUAGCGAUAGAAAAAGUACCGUAAGGGAAAGCUGAAAAAGAAAUGAAAUAAAUCAGUCAAGCAAAAAAAAGCAGAGACUACCCCUCGUACCUUUUGCAUCAUGAAUUAGUAAGACACCCCAAGCAAAACGAUCUAUAGUUUGGCCCCCCGAAACUAAGUGAGCUACUCCGAGACAGCCUAUAAAUUAGGGCACACCCGUCUCUGUGGCAAAAGAGUGGGAAGAGCUCCGAGUAGAGGUGACAGAUCUACCGAACUUAGUUAUAGCUGGUUGCCUGAGAACUGAAUAUAAGUUCAGCCUCCCGGCUUCUCCACACACUAUUUCCCCAUACUCUUAACCCCCGGAUAGUCACUAAAGAAUACCGAGAGUGUAAGUUAAAGGAGGAACAGCUCCUUUAACAUAAGACACAACUUUAUCAGAAGGAUAAAGAUCAUAAUACCCAAAGUAUUCACCUUUUCGUGGGCCUAAGAGCAGCCACCCUAACAGAAAGCGUCAAAGCUCAGAUAUCCUCUCAACUCCUUAUUAUGAUAACCCUUCUAACUCCUCUAAUACUACCAGGCUUCUUCAUGCCCCCAUGAAAGUAACUAUGCUAAUAUGAGUAAUAAGAGAGUCCGCCUCUCUCCACUACACAAGUGUAAAUCGAAACAAACCCCUGCCGAAAAUUAAUGGGCCCAAAAAAAGAGGGAACCGAAAAAUACAUAGACACCCAGAAAAACAAUCAACAAUCACCCAUUAAUCUUACACCAGAGUGUUUAAAGGAAAGACUAAACCAAUGAGAAGGAACUCGGCAAACACCUUAGGCCUCGCCUGUUUACCAAAAACAUCACCUCCUGUAAACAAAAUAUAGAAGGCACUGCCUGCCCAGUGACCCCUGUUCAACGGCCGCGGUAUCCUAACCGUGCAAAGGUAGCGUAAUCACUUGUCUUUUAAUUGAAGACCUGUAUGAAUGGCAAAACGAGGGCUCAACUGUCUCCUCAUUAAAGUCAAUAAAAUUGAUCCCCCCGUGCAGAAGCGGGGAUAGCACCAUAAGACGAGAAGACCCUGUGGAGCUUUAGACGCUAAAGCAGCUCAUAAACUCAGCCUUGUCAUAACCAAGCAUCAACUAAAUGAAUCCCUGCUUCCUUGUCUUCGGUUGGGGCGACCAGGAGAAACUAAACAACUCCCCUGAGGUCUGAGGGUACUCCCCCUCAAAACUAAGAGCCACACCUCUAAUAAAUAGAACUUCUAACUAGAUAGAUCCGGGACACCCGAUCUACGAACAAAGUUACCCCAGGGAUAACAGCGCAAUCCUCUUUCAGAGCCCAUAUCGACAAGAGGGUUUACGACCUCGAUGUUGGAUCAGGACACCCCAAUGGUGCAGCCGCUAUUAAAGGUUCGUUUGUUCAACGAUUAAAGUCCUACGUGAUCUGAGUUCAGACCGGAGUAAUCCAGGUCAGUUUCUAUCUAUGAUGCAGAUUUUUCCAGUACGAAAGGACCGAAAAAACAAGGCCCCUGCCAUAGACACGCCUUAUUUUAACUCAAUGAUUCCAUAUCAAUUGAUAUAAGAAGGCAAGCACAGGCCUCAAACCAAGGUUU